UCCUCCUCUUUCCUUCCCAUAGAACAUCAACCUAGUACGGGAUGUGACACAUUCUACUACUACGGAUCUAGACAUACAUCUGUCCAGAUUCGUUAUACUAGAAUGUGUUACAUCCAAUCGUAGAUUCAUUUUUUGUGGGGACGAAGGGAG
Molecule: unclassified non-coding RNA, 150 nt
Filed under: Oryza sativa (Asian cultivated rice)
Lineage: Eukaryota; Viridiplantae; Streptophyta; Magnoliopsida; Poales; Poaceae
Description: partial microRNA MIR468i-3 precursor
Source: RNAcentral